GCCAGCGUGGUGUAGUAGGUUGAGUGUUGGACUACGACUCUGGAGGCCAGGGUUCGAUUCCCUGCUCAGUCA
RNAcentral lists this transfer RNA (72 nucleotides) under Phrynosoma platyrhinos (Desert horned lizard). RNAcentral describes it as "tRNA-OTHER". The record is from RNAcentral. Lineage: Eukaryota; Metazoa; Chordata; Lepidosauria; Squamata; Phrynosomatidae.